AGUAACGCGUGGGUAACCUGCCUUAUACAGGGGGAUAACAGUCAGAAAUGAUUGCUAAUACCGCAUAAGCGCACAGAGCUGCAUGGCUCGGUGUGAAAAACUCCGGUGGUAUAAGAUGGACCCGCGUUGGAUUAGCUAGUUGGUGAGGUAACGGCCCACCAAGGCGACGAUCCAUAGCCGGCCUGAGAGGGUGAACGGCCACAUUGGGACUGAGACACGGCCCAG
Molecule: ribosomal RNA, 225 nt
Filed under: uncultured bacterium
Lineage: Bacteria
Description: partial 16S ribosomal RNA
Rfam family: Bacterial small subunit ribosomal RNA
Source: RNAcentral